UACAGAGGUGGCAAGCGUUGUUCGGAAUUACUGGGCGUAAAGGGCGCGUAGGCGGUCUUCUAAGUUCCGUGUGAAAUCCCUCGGCUCAACUGGGGAAUGGCACGGAAAACUGGAAGGCUUGAGUUCGGGAGAGGGAAGCGGAAUUCCGGGUGUAGCGGUGAAAUGCGUAGAUAUCCGGAGGAACACCGGUGGCGAAGGCGGCUUCCUGGACCGACACUGACGCUGAGGCGCGAAAGCUAGGGGAGCAAACGGG
This 253-nucleotide ribosomal RNA is filed under the name uncultured bacterium. RNAcentral describes it as "partial 16S ribosomal RNA". It matches the Rfam family "Bacterial small subunit ribosomal RNA", at positions 524 to 776 of the family's 1533-position model. The record is from RNAcentral.